AUCAACUUUCGAUGGUAGGAUAGAGGCCUACCAUGGUUAUGACGGGUAACGGGGAAUAAGGGUUCGAUUCCGGAGAGAGGGCCUGAGAAACGGCCCUCAUGUCUAAGGAUAGCAGCAGGCGCGCAAAUUACCCAAUCCCGACUCGGGGAGGUAGUGACAAUAAAUAACAAUACGGGGCUCUUUCGGGUCUCGUAAUUGGAAUGAGUACAAUUUAAAUCUCUUAACGAGGAACAAUUGGAGGGCAAGUCUGGUGCCAGCAGCCGCGGUAAUUCCAGCUCCAAUAGCGUAUAUUAAAGUUGUUGCAGUUAAAAAGCUCGUAGUUGAACCUCGGGGUCUACCCAUUGGUCAGGCUUAAUUGUCUGCACUGGUGAGAUGGAUCUCUACCUUCUGAGGAACUUUCAUGCCAUUUAUUUGGUGUGAUAGGAAAUCAGGACUGUUACUUUGAAAAAAUUAGAGUGUUUAAAGCAGACUAUCGUCUGAAUACAUUAGCAUGGAAUAAUGAAAUAGGACGGACUGAUUCUAUUUCGUUGGUUUCUAGGAUCACCGUAAUGAUUAAUAGGGAUAGUUGGGGGCAUUAGUAUUCAAUUGUCAGAGGUGAAAUUCUUGGAUUUAUUGAAGACUAACUACUGCGAAAGCAUUUGCCAAGGAUGUUUUCAUUAAUCAAGAACGAAAGUUAGGGGAUCGAAGACGAUCAGAUACCGUCGUAGUCUUAACCAUAAACUAUGCCGACUAGGGAUCGGACGAAGUUAAUUUUAUAAUGACGCGUUCGGCACCUUACGGGAAACCAAAGUGUUUGGGUUC
This 801-nucleotide ribosomal RNA is filed under the name uncultured Diversispora. RNAcentral's name for it is "SSU rRNA". It matches the Rfam family "Eukaryotic small subunit ribosomal RNA", at positions 314 to 1114 of the family's 1831-position model. Lineage: Eukaryota; Fungi; Glomeromycota; Glomeromycetes; Diversisporales; Diversisporaceae. The record is from RNAcentral.